This 253-nucleotide ribosomal RNA is filed under the name uncultured bacterium. RNAcentral's name for it is "partial 16S ribosomal RNA". It matches the Rfam family "Bacterial small subunit ribosomal RNA", at positions 524 to 776 of the family's 1533-position model. The record is from RNAcentral.
UACGAAGGGGGCUAGCGUUGUUCGGAAUCACUGGGCGUAAAGGGCGCGUAGGCGGUCUUCUAAGUCUUGUGUGAAAUCCCUCGGCUCAACUGCGGAACUGCACGGGAUACUGGAAGACUUGAGUUCGGGAGAGGGAAGCGGAAUUCCCGGUGUAGAGGUGAAAUUCGUAGAUAUCGGGAGGAACACCGGUGGCGAAGGCGGCAGCCUGGGUUGACACUGACGCUGAGGCGCGAAAGCGUGGGGAGCAAACAGG